This 337-nucleotide unclassified non-coding RNA is filed under the name soil metagenome. RNAcentral's name for it is "partial contains 5.8S ribosomal RNA, internal transcribed spacer 2, and large subunit ribosomal RNA". The stretch from base 1 to 120 matches the Rfam family "5.8S ribosomal RNA", at positions 35 to 154 of the family's 154-position model. The record is from RNAcentral.
GAUGAAGAACGCAGCGAAAUGCGAUAAGUAGUGUGAAUUGCAGAAUUCAGUGAAUCAUCGAAUCUUUGAACGCACAUUGCGCCCCUUGGUAUUCCAUGGGGCAUGCCUGUUCGAGCGUCAUUUGUACCUUCAAGCUCUGCUUGGUGUUGGGUGUUUGUCUCGCCUCUGCGUGUAGACUCGCCUUAAAACAAUUGGCAGCCGGCGUAUUGAUUUCGGAGCGCAGUACAUCUCGCGCUUUGCACUCAUAACGACGACGUCCAAAAGUACAUUUUUACACUCUUGACCUCGCAUCAGGUAGGGAUACCCGCUGAACUUAAGCAUAUCAAUAAGCGGAGGA